Long non-coding RNA from Lycium ferocissimum, 932 nucleotides. RefSeq lists it as uncharacterized. The record is from RefSeq and is a predicted model, not a curated record. The transcript is spliced from 2 exons. Lineage: Eukaryota; Viridiplantae; Streptophyta; Magnoliopsida; Solanales; Solanaceae.
CCUCCCCUUUCUCCCUCUAUCCCUCACAACGCCUUGCCGAAAAUGGCAAAGGUCAGGCCACAUGCUGCUUUCUCAGUGUUGUUCAUCCAAAAUGAGAAAGAACAUUAAUUACUCUUGCCCUCUCUCACCUUUCUUCCGUCCAGACGCCACCAAGGUAAGGGUUUACCCCCUUCUUUCUUUUCCUUUCUCUGGAAUAGUACUGAUUGGCUUUAAUUGUUAUUUUCCACAUUAUGGUCUUCAAUUUGAAACUCAAAAUUCCAAGAGGAAUUUGUGUUUAGGAUCCUGUCCCACAUCGACCAAACUCUAGAUUUUGUGAUUUUAUCGAGUUCUAUAUAAAGAGCUCCCAUUUUCAGUUCUCAAGAGGAAUACACUAACGUAUUUGGGUAAAUUUCUAUUGAGCUAGUUCAUUUUGUUCAGAUUGGCUAAGUGAUUCAAUUUUUUGUCGAUUCGAAGCACAAUGAGAAACCUAAACUAUUUCUUUUCUUUUCUUACAUUCAUUCUUCGGCCCGAGGCCAAGACGAAGUGCUGAAGAGGAAUGAAAGCUGAAAGUUCAAAGUUUGAUCGGUUGCUCGCAAAUAUUGUCCAAAUGGACUGUGUCACUGGUGCAUUCUCCGUUGGGCCAAAGGCCCAACAACACCUUAUUCCUUAUCAAGUCCACAAAGCCUAGAAGGGCAUUCCCAGCGAAGCAGCUGCGCAGGUGAGGGAAAUGGGCCAAAUGACGCGCAAAAGGCCCACUUCUCGAGUGAAAAAGGAAAGUGGGAUGUUCGGUUUGCAUUUCGGGCCCAAGGCCCAACUUUUUAUUAUCUCCAGCUUUAUUUAUAUAUUUUGUUUAUGAUUUUUAUGUAAUCAACACUUUGAAACCCUAUUGGAACUUGGAUAAAACACGAGUAGGACGAUGACGAGUUGUAUAGAUAAUAUUGUUUUCAGAAUCA